CUAAAGAUGGCGACCGGCGCACGGGUGAGUAACACGUAUCCAACCUGCCCUUUACUCGGGGAUAGCCUUUCGAAAGAAAGAUUAAUACCCGAUAGCAUAAUGAUUCCGCAUGGUUUCAUUAUUAAAGGAUUCCGGUAAAGGAUGGGGAUGCGUUCCAUUAGGUUGUUGGUGAGGUAACGGCUCACCAAGCCUUCGAUGGAUAGGGGUUCUGAGAGGAAGGUCCCCCACAUUGGAACUGAGACACGGUCCAA
Molecule: ribosomal RNA, 251 nt
Filed under: uncultured bacterium
Lineage: Bacteria
Description: partial 16S ribosomal RNA
Rfam family: Bacterial small subunit ribosomal RNA
Source: RNAcentral